Long non-coding RNA from Bufo bufo (common toad), 478 nucleotides. RefSeq lists it as uncharacterized. Lineage: Eukaryota; Metazoa; Chordata; Amphibia; Anura; Bufonidae. The record is from RefSeq and is a predicted model, not a curated record. The transcript is spliced from 2 exons.
GUUGGAUGAUUUUUUUUUUUUCUUAUUUUCCUCCCCUAAAACCUAGGUGAGUCUUAUGGGCAGUUGAUUUCUGCUGGUAGCUUACUCUUAGUAAACCCAUCUCCAGAUGAUGCACAUCAUGCAUUGUGACAAUCUUUAAAAGGGAGAUGCAUGCAAAAUUAGGGGUGUUAGAAACACAAUAAUCUACAAUGUGAUCUACAUCAUGUAAUGUGACUGGAUGUGAGGACAAUGUCAUGCGAGAGGAUAGGAUUGCAAUUCUUGAGUAUUUGAGGAUGUAAAGCAAUUCUGUAUAAUGGACCAUCCAUUCAUAGUGUACAUGGGAGAAUAUUCCCAAUAGCUGAGAAUAGACCAUAGCUGUUGAAAGAAUCAGUAGGAGGCAAAGGAUUUGGACACAGUCAUACACAUAAAGAUUCUUUAUGUGGAGAUAAUCAGUCUACAUAUAUGAGCAUGCUGACAACCGAAUGGAUACACAUAUGUU